AUGCCAAACAGUGGUUACUCUGUCAGCUAGUAAUUGCCUUUAGGGCAGCUGUCACUCUCAAAGCAGAGGACAGGUUCCUCCAGUUGCCCUCUGGUGAAUCCCCACUCCUAUUGAUGCCAAUGGUGGGUGGAACGUUGACCAGAUAGGCAAUUGGGUUCCUUUCAGAGACCAAUCUCUGAUUGCGUGGAACUAGCAGAAACAGGUGACAACUGAGGGGUCAUGGCCAGGGCUACUCUUUGGCAGAUACCCAAAGGUCCCUCAGAAGAAACUAGCUCCCAACAACCCCUCUGGGUAAUUGGCAGAAAAUCUCAUUUUGUCCCUAUCUGGACUCCUCAGUGAGGUGAAAGGGGAACUCUGUCAGUGAUCAUCAGAUGUCCUCUAUCUCAGAGUGAUCUGAAACGAUGCCAUCAGAGCCCCUUCUUAAACCUUGGUUAAGAGUUGAGCUACAGAUUUGGACUGCUUUCUCUACUACUAGUAAGACCUCUAGACAAAUGUAGAAAAUGAAUCUUUGAUAGAUUAAAAACUACCUGAACCUUCUAUCCCCCUCCUAGGCAUGGUCUUCAUUAUUUAUGUGUGUAGGGACAAAAAUGCCUUUUCCAAUAGGUUAUGGACUUUGGAACAUUGACUGUGGACUUAUAAAAUGGUAUAGGGUGAUUUUUUUUGAUGUUUAAACAGCUUGAACUUUAUUUGAACUUUUUCCUCCCUGCUAGUGUGUUAAAAACUCCACUUAAACUUUCCUCCAACUUGUUGGAAGUUCAUUUCAGAAUCCCUAGUAGUCAGACCUCUCCUCCUUCCAGAAAGUCAGACUAAGGCAACUCACAACAACUGUUUUGUUUUACACUAGGGAAAAUAACAAUCAGUAACUUGCAUUUGUGUUUUUACAUGCUAACUAGAAUAUGGGACUAUUUUAGCCAGGCUUUCUCUUCAUUCAUGCAUGCAUAGGAAGUCGAUAAGAGUGCCUUUACUAUGUAGAUUGUGGCCUCUAGGAGAACCUAUGCAUUUCAAAUACUUAGUGAAUUUAAAAUGGACCCUAAAGGAGUAGCCUUGUCUUGCUUCUAAUAAAAGUUGCCUAAAUGACUGGAUGGACAACAGAAAUGUCUCAGAGCUUUCUCUGCCCUAGGGCCCAGGGGAGAAUCUCUGACUUACCAUCUCUGGAGGUGAUCUCUUUUGCAGGAAAAGUGCCCCAAUUUGACUGUUGACCUAUUUUCCUCUCUCUCUGUCAAGGAACUAGAAAAUAGUGGUUUAAAUUUCUUGGUUUUCUAGCAAUACUUCCUUCUCUAAACAUGAUUGUUAUGGCUGAAGUCAAUUGUAACUUGUGCUUUAAGAGUACCUACUGGAGUAAGGAUAUGACUUACCUGGGAAGAUAAGAUCGAGCGCUGGUAAAGGGUAAAUAGUCCAGUCCAGUUUUAUUUUCUGGUUCUCUCUUCAGAUGGUAGCUACCUACCCUGGAGUGGUAAAAACCAUGGGGGACGCCCUGGGGACGCCCUAGGGGGCACAGGAAUCAAGCAGAGACUUAUGGGACGCCAUAUUUGUUUCUCUUGUUUCAGACUGGGAACUCCAUAUCUGAACCUCCUACUCUUUUGGAAUGUUUUCAGGAGCAAUUUAUUAUUUUUCUACACCCGAGGAUGGUGUGCCUAUCUCCUAAAGCCAAGUACACAGAGGAAAGUAGUAUGAUGCUAUCUCACAAUUAGAAUUAUACUUUAAGAAAAAAAAUGGUCAAAUCAUCUUAUGUUGAGAUUUUCUUUACAUUAAGAAGUAAUUCUUGCUUGUGUUCAAAUGUAAAUGUGGGACACAGAAAAAUGAGAGACACCUCACCCUUAAGACAUUCAGUACCUCUAAGCCUGAGGCUACUCCUUGCCCUUUAGAACUUGAGAACAAAGUUUACAAGACCACUGUAACCCUUGACCACCAGGUGCUGAGGGUGGAGUUUCUAGGCCAGCCAUAAUUAAAACCUCCCUGAGGCUAUAUCCAUCCUUAGCUAAGUAAUUGAGGUCCCUCAAGACAGUAUCCCUUGCAGUAAGUAAAAGGCAAAUAUGGGACUACCUGAGUUCACGUGUCUUUCUCUCAGUGAGCUAAGACAGGUCAAAUGAGACCUAAGAAUAAGUUUUCAGAUGACCCUGAUAUGAACACUGAGGUCUUUAGAGGACUUACUCAGACCUAUGAACUAGAUUAGAAAGAUGUAAUGUUGCUCUUAAAUCAAAUAUUGAUUUCUAAUGAGAGACAAGUAUUAUUACAAGCUGCUACUACAUGUAGAGACAAAUAUUAUCUUAAUUUUGGAAACUCAAAAGACAGGCAGCCAGGGGAACAAUUGGUUCCUACUGGAACACAAACAGUUCCUAUACAAGGCCCCACUGGCCUGCCAAUCAGAUAGGACGUUAAACAGACAUUUUCAGGCAUGUAUUCUUGAAGGUCUAAGAAACAUGAGAGAAGUAAACCCUUCAGUUAAUUUAAAUUGUCAACUAUUUAUCAGGAAAAAAGAUGAGAACAUCCCUGGAUCCUGAUUUGAUAGAAGGAAAUACUAUAGUUUUUCCAAGUCAGUCUUGCAAUAUGUAGAUGGUAUGCUGUUAUGUGCCCCCUCAGAAGAGCUUUCUAGCCAAGACAUCUGUUCUGCUGAAUUUUCUAACAGACAGGGAUUAUAAUGUUUCUAGAUCUAAGGCACAACUUUGCAGCCUUGAGGUAAAAUAUUUGGGCCUUAUUAUAUCUGAGGGAACCCACAGACUGGGGGAAGAAAGAACUAAACCAAUUCUUUCCUUUUCACAACCCAAAGACUCUAAAACAGCUAAGGAGAUUCCUAGAAAUUACAGGCUUUUGUGGCCUUCAGAUAGUAGGAUAUAGUAAGAUUGUGUGACCCCUCUAUUAGCUUAUAGAAAAACCCAAGAGACAGAUACCUGGGAACUUUAUUCCCAGACCACACUCUAGAAGUUCAAACAAGCACUUCUAAGUGCCUGCCACAGGACACCAUUUCAGUUUAUAUGUUAAUAAAAGCCCCUGAGAAACAACAUAGUUUGAUUCAAGGCACUUCCCUCCUCUGUGGCUGCUGGAUUUCAAGACAAGGCUUCCAGAAUGAAAUCGCUGUAAACAUUUCUGCAUCGAUUCAAGAGAUUGAUGCAGCCAUGACAGCACAACUAAAGACACUCGGGAAAGAGGACUCCAGAGCCACUUCAGAAAGUGGUGAGAAUGAUUGGAUGGGUGUGUUUGAAGUGCGAGGGAGGAUUUUAAGGGAGAUUCACUGCAAUGUGUCUUUUCCUGUAAGAAAGUUUUGAAGAUUUCAACAUUCACUGUGUAUUUCGACCACGCCGCUCCUGUCGAGGUCCGAUUACCACGGCAGCCAGCCCCGUGGAGCCCCGGACAGCUUCUUCCUCUCCGGGUGACAGCCAGACUCUGUGCUGUGCUGAAUGCCCUGUGAUUUCUCCUUCUUGCCCCCUCAACCCCUUUGCUGUUUCAGCCGCGGACCCCAGAGCCUCUGUCACCUGGGCUCUCAUCCUCGCCGCCCUCCUCACUAGCGUGGAUGAAGAACUUAACUUCCCGCGCCUCCAUUUCCUGCUCAGAGAAAGGUGGUCCUCGUCCGGGGCUGUGGACGAGCCCAGACUGCCCUCCUCUGUGAAGCUUAGCUUGCUGUGCUCUCAGCGACGCGGGCCAGAGACACGGGACUCCCUGUGCAGACAGCAACUGCACACUCACAGCGGCUCACAGCAGCCCAGGCCUGAGGGGCUCUCUGGUCUCGGGCCUGGCGAUGCAGCCCGGCCGACCCUGCAUGCCAGGGCUCUGAGCCAGGACCAGACUUUCUGAAGGGCUUGGAGCAAAUCUGCAUGAACUCUGGCCCAGUCGGAAACGUUAUUUCUGUCAUAAUGGACAGUAAAGAUCCGCCCUCUUCUAGGAGAGACACAUCUAUCUGUGGAGGCUGUUUGCCCUGCUGACAUCUUUGAGAGUUCAGAAGAAAUCUGUCAAUGCCUUUGCUCAUAUACUGUGUACAAGUCCAAGAGACCCUGAAGAAGACAUCUGCCCCAUGCUGCCUUCGUGGCUCAUUGUGAGGACGAAAUUAGCUCCUCCCUAGGAGGCAGAGAGUACUCAUGUGCAACCCUCAGCCAAUGGUCCGGAUCACUGUGCAUCCUCUUGUGUCCACUUUUUCAGGCUAGCGGUGUGAAGAGCUUUCACUCACACAGAAUCCCAUGCUUGCCUUGCCUCUGGGCCUUCAUGUUGCCCUGUGUCUGGACAUGUGACUCCCUGCACCUCUCUGCCGGAGGCUCUGCCUGUAGGUUUGGUCCUGGCCUGCAGGCUUAGAUGCCCUGCAUGGUGCUCAUGCAGGCUGCUGCCUCCACCUUGCUCCUUGAUGACUCUUAGCAACUGUCUGGUGAUGUGCUCAGUGUCUCAAAUGGCCCUGGAGUGGAAGCUCGGGGUCUUACAGGAAUACGGAGCCACACAAAGUGGCUCUGGUAGCUGAAAGAUGGGAGAGUUCAUUGGGAGGCUCCUGGGUUGUCUCAGACUCACAGCUGGAGCUGGAAAUCAGGAACAGGGCAGACAGGGGACUCAGCUUCAGGGACCUCUGCAGCGAGGUCUACAGGUCCAGCUCCCAUACUCACCUUUUAUAAACUCCGAAGACCAGACGAGCCCUCGGAGCCCUCUGGGUUAGGUGACCCCUGGACGACUCAGCCACAGUCGGAGGAGGGAGCUGCACAGGGCAGAUGGGCCGCGAGUGACUCUUCUGAGUGUGGGCAGCACGCUGAGACCAUCACCCUAGGACUGUCUGUCCCUGGGAGCUCCUCCACUGCACCGUAUUCAUGGCUGCAGACUUGGCUCCUCCACACCGCUCUGUUCCACAUUGUUGCCUGCCUAUUCUAGCACGGUAUUAAAUUCUGUCUCUGGGCUUCAAACUCGCCCUUCUGUGCUCUGCUGUGUGACCGUGGGGCUGGGACCCCGCCCCACAUUCCUGCGUGGCUACCUGCACAGGCUGCGGCACACUUGGGGAGCCCGGCGGGGGAGGGGAGAGGAUCUUGCUCCUGGCUGUCUGCUUCCUGUCUGCUUCCUGUCAGCUUCCUAUCUGCUGGAGUCUCCUUCCUUUCUUCUCCCCCUCCUCAUCCCCGUGGAAGCCCUGAAUCCGGUUUGGAAUCUCCCAGAGCUGAGAACUGGUCGCACUCACCUGCCGAGAGACGCUAGCACGCAAGCGGGGCCCUUCCAGAGUGUGGGUCCCGUCCAGUGCUCUCCUUGGGGCCCAGGGACACCAGUGCAGGCUGCACAUCCUCGGGUCCUCAGUGUGUCUGGAACUCCUGAUCAUGGACAACUCAGUACAUUUCCAGCCUUUCUGGAGACAAACCAGCAUGGCGAGGCAGCCUGGGGACGUGAAGGACUGAUUGCCAGGACGCUGGAUGACAGAGGCGCACGGAGAAUGCACCCUGAACUUCACACUCUGUUUCCAUACAGUAGUCAAUCAAAACGCCCUAGAGAAUAGCUCAGAUGGCAGCCUUUGGCCAUUGGUCAAUCGUAAACCUUUGGAAAUUGGAAUUGAAAGAAAAUUCCCAGUCCACUGAGUGGAUUUAGAAAUUGCUCCGGCCACUUGCUUCUCAUAAGACUUUACUAAGUGUCUACAAAUUAGCAUCAUAAAAAUGAAUCAAAAAGACAAAAACAUUUGGCUUAAAAUAAAUACUAAAAAUGAAAUAAAUCAAGCAAAUUAUGCAAACCAAAGGAAUGUAAACACAAAAAUAAAACCACAAUCUUUAAAGGUCUUCAGAGC
This is a long non-coding RNA of Heterocephalus glaber (naked mole-rat), 5728 nucleotides long. The record is from Ensembl. Lineage: Eukaryota; Metazoa; Chordata; Mammalia; Rodentia; Bathyergidae.